GUGUUGUAUGAAAGGAGAGAAGGUUAGCAUUCCCCUUGACAAGGAUGGAAGAGGCCCCUGGGCCUGACAACACGCAUAUGGUUAAGGCAUUGCUACCUACUGUGUGGCAUCUAACCACUGCUUUUU
Heterocephalus glaber (naked mole-rat) is the source of this 126-nucleotide small nuclear RNA. NCBI's taxonomy places the organism in Eukaryota, Metazoa, Chordata, Mammalia, Rodentia, Bathyergidae. The record is from Ensembl.